AGUCCAUGAUGUGGACAUUUCCAAAGCAAAUCUCUGAAUCUUUCCCAUGCCUCAUAUAAUGAUUCACCUUCCUAUUGGUUAAAACUAGUGAUAUCUAUUCUUAGCUU
This is a small nucleolar RNA of Coffea eugenioides, 107 nucleotides long. Lineage: Eukaryota; Viridiplantae; Streptophyta; Magnoliopsida; Gentianales; Rubiaceae. The record is from RefSeq and is a predicted model, not a curated record.